This 1537-nucleotide long non-coding RNA is filed under the name Olea europaea subsp. europaea. The record is from RNAcentral. Lineage: Eukaryota; Viridiplantae; Streptophyta; Magnoliopsida; Lamiales; Oleaceae.
UAACAUUAUUCUACUAGGAAUUAAACAUGAAACAGAACUCGUGAACAUAACUGACUUCUCUGCAUUUUGGUAGGCUUGAACUUCUUUUUCUUCAUGUUGCUCAUGGACUGAAAGAUAGUACAACCCAUUAUUUCCCUUAACACUGUCAAUCAUUUUCCCCGAAUACAAACCCUGAAAUUUUCAAAAAUGAGGGGAGAAAUUUAGCUUUACAAUAUAGUACACUGGUCAGUUUGUUAACUGAAAUUAGGUUACUGAAAGAUUAGGAACAUGCAGAACUGAAUAAAGGGUAAUAGUUGGGGAAACCACAAUAUUUCCUUUCCCUGCAACUGAAGGCAGAGAGCUAUCAACAAUUCUGAUUUUAAGUGUACCAGGGCAAGGGAUAUAUGAAGAAAAAAAAUCUGAAUUUCCUGUCAUGUGAUCAGAUGUUCCCGAGUGUAUAAUCCAUUCAUCACUAUUAUCAAUCUGUGUCUCGUGCAAGGGAGAAACUACCUUUCCCAGCAAUGUUGCAAGACGGAUGCUAGGGGGAUUGAGAGUUACUCUGCCUAAGAUUAGACUGGUAUUGUUGAAGUAAUUUCUGAAUUCCACCAAUCUGUUCGUGGCUGAAAAUUGAUUGUUGUUGUUGGCUAGAUCCACCGAUGGUUACUUGGUACCCUCUGGAUUCGGUUUGAUUGCGUGGCUUCCAAUUGGAAGGCUUUCCAUGGAGCUUCCAGCACGUUUCACGGUUGUGGUUGGACCGAUUACAGUGGUCUCGCCACAUAUUCAGGUUAGGUGCUCGAUUUUCUCCCGAAUUAUUUUUUGAAACUCGAAGUUCUGCUUAAUCCAAUUUGCUGUCAAAGCUGAGGCAGAAAUAUUAGGAAUUUCUGUUCUAACUUCAGUCUCUUUGCUGCCACCUAACAUGACUUUCCUCCGAAUUUCUUCUCUCCUCACUUCAGCAAAAGCUUCUCCAAGGCUCAAGAGAGGUUUAGCACCAAGAAUAUGUCCUCUCACUUCGUCCAAUUCCUUAUUCAAACCACGUAAAAAAUCAAAGACACGUUCAAUUUCAAGGUCUACCUGAUAUUUCUUGCUGCAAGUCUGACAGUGUUUGGAGACAUCCUGGAGCAAGUCCAGCUCUUGCCAUAAGCCAGUCAAUGUAUUGUAGUAAUUCGUAACGGAGGAUUCACCUUGCUUGCAACCUUUCAGGACAGACUUGAGCUCAAACUGUUGGGCAGAAUUACCUAAAUCAGAAUACUUGUCUUUAUCUCCCUCCCAUAUUUCCUUAGCCGUCUUGUACGAUAAAUAAUUCCUCCCAUUCUUUUGCCCAUCGAGUUGACCAACCAUGCCAUCACCAAAGAGUUGUCUGCUUCCCAUAUGGCAUAAUUUCUGUCGUCCUCCGUAGGUGCUGCUGUAGUGUAGACCCAGUAAGAUACCCAAGUUCCCUUUUGCCUCAUAUCAGUGAUAUCACCAUGACAACGGACUGAGACCAAUCAAGAUAAUUGGAGCCAUCUAGUUUAUGUUGGGUUAUUUGUAAAGAGUUAUUUUCUGAGGUAGAGGAAGGAGA